This 205-nucleotide ribosomal RNA is filed under the name uncultured microorganism. RNAcentral describes it as "partial 16S ribosomal RNA". It matches the Rfam family "Bacterial small subunit ribosomal RNA", at positions 9 to 209 of the family's 1533-position model. The record is from RNAcentral.
GAGUUUGAUCGUGGCUCAGGAUGAACGCUGGCGGCGUGCCUAAUACAUGCAAGUAGAACGCUGAAGCUUGGUGCUUGCACCGAGCGGAUGAGUUGCGAACGGGUGAGUAACGCGUAGGUAACCUGCCUGGGUAGCGGGGAUAACUAUUGGAACGAUAGCUAAUACCGCAUAACAGUAGAUAUUGCAUGAUAUCUGCUUGAAAGGU